UGGGGAAUUUUGCGCAAUGGGCGAAAGCCUGACGCAGCAAUGCCGCGUGAGCGAUGAAGGCCUGAUGGUUGUAAAGCUCUUUCGCUAGGGAAGAAGAUCUGACGGUACCUAGAGAAGAAGCACCGGCUAACUCCGUGCCAGCAGCCGCGGUAAUACGGAGGGUGCAAGCGUUGUUCGGAAUUACUGGGCGUAAAGCGGGCGUAGGCGGUUUAUCAAGUCUGGUGUGAAAUCCCGGGGCUCAACCCCGGACGUGCACUGGAAACUGGUGAACUUGAGUACUGGAGAGGGUGGUGGAAUUCCCGGUGUAGAGGUGAAAUUCGUAGAUAUCGGGAGGAACAUCAGAGGCGAAGGCGGCCACCUGGACAGAUACUGACGCUGAGGUCCGAAAGCGUGGGGAGCAAACAGG
RNAcentral lists this ribosomal RNA (406 nucleotides) under uncultured bacterium. RNAcentral describes it as "bacterial SSU rRNA". It matches the Rfam family "Bacterial small subunit ribosomal RNA", at positions 355 to 776 of the family's 1533-position model. The record is from RNAcentral.